RNAcentral lists this ribosomal RNA (434 nucleotides) under uncultured bacterium. RNAcentral describes it as "bacterial SSU rRNA". It matches the Rfam family "Bacterial small subunit ribosomal RNA", at positions 29 to 507 of the family's 1533-position model. The record is from RNAcentral.
AACGAACGCUGGCGGCAGGCCUAACACAUGCAAGUCGAGCGCCCCGCAAGGGGAGGCGGCGGACGGGUGAGUAACACGUGGGAAGUUUUCCUUCAAGGUACGGAACAACUCAGGGAAACUUGGGCUAAUACCGUAUGAUGCAGAGAUGCCAAAGAUUUAUCGCCUUGGGAUAAGCCCGCGUCAGAUUAGGUAGUUGGUGGGGUAAUGGCCUACCAAGCCUGUGAUCUGUAGCUGGUCUGAGAGGACGAUCAGCCACAUUGGGACUGAGACACGGCCCAAACUCCUACGGGAGGCAGCAGUGGGGAAUCUUGCGCAAUGGGCGAAAGCCUGACGCAGCCAUGCCGCGUGAAUGAUGAAGGUCUUAGGAUUGUAAAGUUCUUUAGCCUGUGACGAUGAUGACGGUAACAGGAGAAUAAGCCCCGGCUAACUUCGUG